RNAcentral lists this ribosomal RNA (451 nucleotides) under Salmonella enterica. RNAcentral's name for it is "bacterial SSU rRNA". It matches the Rfam family "Bacterial small subunit ribosomal RNA", at positions 1 to 448 of the family's 1533-position model. Lineage: Bacteria; Pseudomonadati; Pseudomonadota; Gammaproteobacteria; Enterobacterales; Enterobacteriaceae. The record is from RNAcentral. RNAcentral also lists the same sequence under 3 other names.
AAAUUGAAGAGUUUGAUCAUGGCUCAGAUUGAACGCUGGCGGCAGGCCUAACACAUGCAAGUCGAACGGUAACAGGAAGCAGCUUGCUGCUUUGCUGACGAGUGGCGGACGGGUGAGUAAUGUCUGGGAAACUGCCUGAUGGAGGGGGAUAACUACUGGAAACGGUGGCUAAUACCGCAUAACGUCGCAAGACCAAAGAGGGGGACCUUCGGGCCUCUUGCCAUCAGAUGUGCCCAGAUGGGAUUAGCUUGUUGGUGAGGUAACGGCUCACCAAGGCGACGAUCCCUAGCUGGUCUGAGAGGAUGACCAGCCACACUGGAACUGAGACACGGUCCAGACUCCUACGGGAGGCAGCAGUGGGGAAUAUUGCACAAUGGGCGCAAGCCUGAUGCAGCCAUGCCGCGUGUAUGAAGAAGGCCUUCGGGUUGUAAAGUACUUUCAGCGGGGAGGA